RNAcentral lists this ribosomal RNA (162 nucleotides) under uncultured bacterium. RNAcentral's name for it is "partial 16S ribosomal RNA". It matches the Rfam family "Bacterial small subunit ribosomal RNA", at positions 335 to 490 of the family's 1533-position model. The record is from RNAcentral.
ACUCCUACGGGAGGCAGCAGUGGGGAAUAUUGCACAAUGGGCGCAAGCCUGAUGCAGCCAUGCCGCGUGUAUGAAGAAGGCCUUCGGGUUGUAAAGUACUUUCAGCGGGGAGGAAGGUGUUGUGGUUAAUAACCACAGCAAUUGACGUACCCGCAGAAGAAG